RNAcentral lists this ribosomal RNA (491 nucleotides) under uncultured bacterium. RNAcentral describes it as "partial 16S ribosomal RNA". It matches the Rfam family "Bacterial small subunit ribosomal RNA", at positions 29 to 506 of the family's 1533-position model. The record is from RNAcentral.
AGUGAACGCUGGCGGUAGGCCUAACACAUGCAAGUCGAACGGCAGCACAGUAAGAGCUUGCUCUUACGGGUGGCGAGUGGCGGACGGGUGAGGAAUACAUCGGAAUCUACUUUUUCGUGGGGGAUAACGUAGGGAAACUUACGCUAAUACCGCAUACGACCUACUGGUGAAAGCAGGGGAUCUUCGGACCUUGCGCGAUUGAAUGAGCCGAUGUCGGAUUAGCUAGUUGGCGGGGUAAAGGCCCACCAAGGCGACGAUCCGUAGCUGGUCUGAGAGGAUGAUCAGCCACACUUGAACUGAGACACGGUCCAGACUCCUACGGGAGGCAGCAGUGGGGAAUAUUGGACAAUGGGCGCAAGCCUGAUCCAGCCAUACCGCGUGGGUGAAGAAGGCCUUCGGGUUGUAAAGCCCUUUUGUUGGGAAAGAAAAGAAGCAGGUUAAUACCCCGCUGUUCGGACGGUACCCAAAGAAUAAGCACCGGCUAACUUCGU